AUGUCUACUUCUUUAUCAACUCCAACUUCCGUUAUGUGCUCUAGCAUACACAGCCUGCAGCUCAGCUCCACCGACCAGAUGAUGAUGGCUGACAAAGAGCUCGAUGUCCAUGGCUCGCCGGGUUCCGCUGGCUCCACUAACAGCUGUGUGCGGGGGCUUGCACAGGAUACCCAGCAAGUGUUUAGGAUUCCACACAGGGCAGUUCUUGACAUGCUCCUAGCACACCUUGGCCUAUCACCGGCUCAGUAUGAACAUGUUGUUCAUGAGGACGACAAGAUCCAUGUGACCGUCUUUUUCAACACCUCUACGUUGGGUCCUGGAGGACCAAUCAGUAUGAAAGUGUCAUGUCGUCAUUCCUACUGGUCUAUUUUAUGCCUAAGACAUGCAAAGUUGUGGAUCGUCUGUAAGCUACCAUGUGCUAUCGUAUCUCCUAUGCCUAUGAUAUUUGCUAGUAAACCUAUCGUGCAACGUGCUUUCUAUGUCCGUACAUUGUUAGGUGGCUUCUUAUUGUGUGCAUACAAAUGA
This 525-nucleotide ribosomal RNA is filed under the name Triticum aestivum (bread wheat). Its description in RNAcentral is "partial small subunit ribosomal RNA". The record is from RNAcentral. Lineage: Eukaryota; Viridiplantae; Streptophyta; Magnoliopsida; Poales; Poaceae.